RNAcentral lists this unclassified non-coding RNA (305 nucleotides) under uncultured fungus. Its description in RNAcentral is "sequence contains ITS1, 5.8S rRNA gene". The stretch from base 257 to 305 matches the Rfam family "5.8S ribosomal RNA", at positions 1 to 49 of the family's 154-position model. The record is from RNAcentral. Lineage: Eukaryota; Fungi.
UUUCCGUAGGUGAACCUGCGGAAGGAUCAUUAUUGAAACAUUGUAAAGGCAAGUUGAGCUGGCCCUUCUAGGGUAUUGUGCUCACUUACCUUUCAAUCUUCAUCCACCUGUGCACUUUUUGUAGAGAGUCUUGAGAACGUGGGCCUUGUAAAAGAGGUUUCCUUAGUAUCGGGCUUUCUAUGUCUUUACAAACUCUGAAUGUAUGUCUUUGAAUGUCUUUAUAAAGGAACUUAGUUGAACCUUUUAAAAACUAUACAACUUUCAGCAACGGAUCUCUUGGCUCUCGCAUCGAUGAAGAACGCAGC